GAAAUGCGAUAAGUAAUGUGAAUUGCAGAAUUCAGUGAAUCAUCGAAUCUUUGAACGCACAUUGCGCCCGCCAGUAUUCUGGCGGGCAUGCCUGUCCGAGCGUCAUUUCAACCCUCGGGCCCCCCCUCUGCGGGCGGCCCGGCGUUGGGGCUCAGGCGCCGUCUCUGCUCGGCGCCUGUCCCCUAAAUGCAGUGGCGGCCUCGCCGCUGCCUCCUCCGCGUAGUAGCACAAACCUCGCGGCUGGAAGGCGGCGCGGCCACGCCGUGAAACCCCCAACUUUACCAAGGUUGACCUCGGAUCAGGUAGGAAUACCCGCUGAACUUAA
RNAcentral lists this unclassified non-coding RNA (325 nucleotides) under uncultured Sordariomycetes. Its description in RNAcentral is "sequence contains ITS1". The stretch from base 1 to 105 matches the Rfam family "5.8S ribosomal RNA", at positions 50 to 154 of the family's 154-position model. The record is from RNAcentral. Lineage: Eukaryota; Fungi; Ascomycota; Sordariomycetes.